UACGGAGGGUGCGAGCGUUAAUCGGAAUUACUGGGCGUAAAGCGCGCGUAGGCGGUCUUGUAAGUCAGGUGUGAAAGCCCCGGGCUCAACCUGGGAACUGCAUUCGAGACUGCAGGACUGGAGUAUUGGAGAGGGCAGCGGAAUUUCCGGUGUAGCGGUGAAAUGCGUAGAUAUCGGAAGGAACACCAGUGGCGAAAGCGGCUGCCUGGCCAAAUACUGACGCUCAUGUGCGAAAGCGUGGGGAGCAAACAGG
RNAcentral lists this ribosomal RNA (253 nucleotides) under uncultured bacterium. Its description in RNAcentral is "partial 16S ribosomal RNA". It matches the Rfam family "Bacterial small subunit ribosomal RNA", at positions 524 to 776 of the family's 1533-position model. The record is from RNAcentral.